UAAAUACUCCUUUGUUCAAUAACUUAUAUUUUUGUGACAUUUUUUAUGUUAACAUAAUUUUAUAUCAGUUUUUCUUUUCAAAAGUUAACAAUGUGGAUGUUUUUAAAAAAUUUACAGAUUUACAAUUAUUCUCUUGGUCAAUAUACAUGAUAUAAGCAAUUCAAAUCCCGUGUCUUCUAGGAAUUGAAAGGAACAGAAUGUUUUGACUAACUUGGUAUCAAAAUUCUGUAAAAAAAAUAUAUUUUAAUCAACCAUCAAAAUUUAUAUAAAGUUUUAAGUAAGAAAGAGUAGUUAUUUGUUUAGGCAUUCAGGUAUGUGUAUGUAAAUUCUUGUAAUUCUAAUAACAUCUAAAAUAUCUGUAAUGGUAGUAAAAUAUAACCUCCCUUUAGAACACUAGUUAAUACUAUUAAAACACAUUUUGAGUCAAUUUGAUGUUUAUUGUAGUCUCUGGUUCCUGCAGACACUUAACAGUUUUGACAACUAGAUAAAUUUCAAUAUAAUGGUUAUUCUAGAAAACAAAUUUCAAAAUCAUUACAAAACUUUUCAUUGAACUCAUGAACCUGACUAAAAUUGGAGCACUAUUUAAGUGUUUAAACACUGUAAAUUUUCCUAUAAUAUUUUAGGUGUAUAUGACUAGGUUAAAUGAUCAUAUUGGCCACAAAUAUGACUGGAUUUAUCAGAUGGCAAAUUCAUAUUUAUAAAAAAACAAACUUCAGUGGUUUUCUUUGUCCAUUACAAUUUUGCCAUGUGUAAACCAGUUUGGCUGCUUGGCAAGGAAAAUAACUUGCCUCAAAUCAAAUUUUCGAUGUCAAAAUCAUGCUUCUAGAAACAGAUUUUGAUAAUGACUGUACUGAUUCCCUGUAUCAUGUUAAGAUAAUUGUCACUAGGAUCAACUUUUUAAGGUCAAUUUUGAAAAAUCUUAAAGAAAAUCUGAAAUUUAAUUUUACUUCACAUCCAUUUAAGAAG
Molecule: long non-coding RNA, 966 nt
Filed under: Mytilus galloprovincialis (Mediterranean mussel)
Lineage: Eukaryota; Metazoa; Mollusca; Bivalvia; Mytilida; Mytilidae
Source: RNAcentral